AGAUAAGCUCUUUAUUGGGUUUGUUGAAAGUUUUUUCCCCCCUUCUCAUUAUUAACACAUACCCCCUUAUAAAAUAUUGAACGUGAUCGUGCCGAAAGGCCAUAAUCAAAUAUACAACUUUUAACAACGGAUCUCUUGGCUCUCGCAUCGAUGAAGAACGCAGCGAAAUGCGAUAAGUAAUGUGAAUUGCAGAAUUCAGUGAAUCAUCGAAUCUUUGAACGCACCUUGCGCUCCUUGGUAUUCCGAGGAGCACGCCUGUUCGAGUGUCGUGAAAUUCUCAAGCUGGAUAGCUUUAUUGUUAUCUCAGUUUGGUUUUGGGCUUUGCCGUCUCCUCUUUUGUGAACGGCUGGCCUUAAAAGUAUUAGCUGACCCUUGUUUGUGGGAUUGGUUCUACUCAGCGUGAUAAUUUUAUGACCGCUGAGGACAUCUUUCGGGAUGGCCAGCUCUGCCUUGGAUCGCUUCUAAUCCUGGUAUUCGGAGUCCGCUCCUUAUCCUUAACUUUUUCAACUUUGACCUCGAAUCAGGUGGGACUACCCGCUGAACUUAAGCAUAUCAAUAAGCGGAGGAAAAGAAACUAACAAGGAUUCCCCUAGUAACGGCGAGUGAAGCGGGAUGAGCUCAAAUUUAAAAUCUGGCAGUCUUUGAUUGUCCGAGUUGUAAUCUAGAGAAGCGUCUUCCGUGC
Molecule: ribosomal RNA, 682 nt
Filed under: uncultured fungus
Lineage: Eukaryota; Fungi
Description: eukaryotic LSU rRNA
Rfam family: 5.8S ribosomal RNA (bases 116-269)
Source: RNAcentral